This 75-nucleotide transfer RNA is filed under the name Marmota monax (woodchuck). RNAcentral describes it as "tRNA.Asp". Lineage: Eukaryota; Metazoa; Chordata; Mammalia; Rodentia; Sciuridae. The record is from RNAcentral.
GGCGUUAUCAGCACCAGUGGUGAGUAUCCCCGCCUGUCACGCGGGAGACCGGGGUUCGAUUCCCCGUACGGGCCA